This 402-nucleotide ribosomal RNA is filed under the name uncultured bacterium. Its description in RNAcentral is "partial 16S ribosomal RNA". It matches the Rfam family "Bacterial small subunit ribosomal RNA", at positions 360 to 776 of the family's 1533-position model. The record is from RNAcentral.
AAUAUUGCACAAUGGGCGAAAGCCUGAUGCAGCAACGCCGCGUGAAGGAAGAAGGCCNNNGGGUUNUCAACUUCUUUGACGAGNGACNAAACAAAUGACGGUACCUCGAAAACAAGCCACGGCUAACUACGUGCCAGCAGCCGCGGUAAUACGUAGGUGGCAAGCGUUGUCCGGAUUUACUGGGUGUAAAGGGCGCGUAGGCGGGAUUGCAAGUCAGAUGUGAAAUACCGGGGCUUAACUCCGGGGCUGCAUUUGAAACUGUGAUUCUUGAGUGUCGGAGAGGCAGGCGGAAUUCCUAGUGUAGCGGUGAAAUGCGUAGAUAUUAGGAGGAACACCAGUGGCGAAGGCGGCCUGCUGGACGAUAACUGACGCUGAGGCGCGAAAGCGUGGGGAGCAAACAGG